RNAcentral lists this ribosomal RNA (403 nucleotides) under uncultured bacterium. Its description in RNAcentral is "bacterial SSU rRNA". It matches the Rfam family "Bacterial small subunit ribosomal RNA", at positions 490 to 890 of the family's 1533-position model. The record is from RNAcentral.
GCGCCGGCCAACUACGUGCCAGCAGCCGCGGUAAGACGUAGGGCGCGAGCGUUGUCCGGAUUUAUUGGGCGUAAAGAGCUCGUAGGCGGCUUGUUGCGUCGGCUGUGAAAUCCCGUGGCUUAACUGCGGGCUUGCAGCUGAUACGGGCGGGCUAGAGUUCGGUAGGGGAGACUGGAAUUCCUGGUGUAGCGGUGAAAUGCGCAGAUAUCAGGAGGAACACCGGUGGCGAAGGCGGGUCUCUGGGCCGAUACUGACGCUGAGGAGCGAAAGCGUGGGGAGCGAACAGGAUUAGAUACCCUGGUAGUCCACGCUGUAAACGUUGGGCGCUAGGUGUGGGGGGCCUCUCCGGUUCCCUGUGCCGCAGCUAACGCAUUAAGCGCCCCGCCUGGGGAGUACGGCCGCA